GCAAGUCGAGCGCUACCUUCGGGUGGAGCGGCGGACGGGUUAGUAACGCGUGGGAAUAUACCCAGAUCUAAGGAAUAGCCUCGGGAAACUGAGAGUAAUACCAUAUAAGCCCUUCGGGGGAAAGAUUUAUCGGGAAAGGAUUGGCCCGCGUUAGAUUAGAUAGUUGGUGGGGUAAUGGCCUACCAAGUCUACGAUCUAUAGCUGGUUUGAGAGGAUGAUC
RNAcentral lists this ribosomal RNA (220 nucleotides) under uncultured bacterium. Its description in RNAcentral is "partial 16S ribosomal RNA". It matches the Rfam family "Bacterial small subunit ribosomal RNA", at positions 57 to 305 of the family's 1533-position model. The record is from RNAcentral.